RNAcentral lists this ribosomal RNA (497 nucleotides) under uncultured bacterium. RNAcentral's name for it is "partial 16S ribosomal RNA". It matches the Rfam family "Bacterial small subunit ribosomal RNA", at positions 28 to 507 of the family's 1533-position model. The record is from RNAcentral.
GAUGAACGCUGGCGGCGUGCCUAAUACAUGCAAGUCGAGCGAACGGACGAGAAGCUUGCUUCUCUGAUGUUAGCGGCGGACGGGUGAGUAACACGUGGAUAUCCUACCUAUAAGACUGGGAUAACUUCGGGAAACCGGAGCUAAUACCGGAUAAUAUUUUGAACCGCAUGGUUCAAAAGUGAAAGACGGUCUUGUUGUCACUUAUAGAUGGAUCCGCGCUGCAUUAGCUAGUUGGUAAGGUAACGGCUUACCAAGGCAACGAUGCAUAGCCGACCUGAGAGGGUGAUCGGCCACACUGGAACUGAGACACGGUCCAGACUCCUACGGGAGGCAGCGGUAGGGAAUCUUCCGCAAUGGGCGAAAGCCUGACGGAGCAACGCCGCGUGAGUGAUGAAGGUCUUCGGAUCGUAAAACUCUGUUAUUAGGGAAGAACAUACGUGUAAGUAACUGUGCACAUCUUGACGGUACCUAAUCAGAAAGCCACGGCUAACUACGUG